CAGCAGCCGCGGUAAUACGUAGGGGGCGAGCGUUGUCCGGAAUUACUGGGCGUAAAGAGUUMGUAGGCGGUCUGAUAAGUCAGAUGUGAAAGGCGUAGGCUUAACCUAUGUAAGCAUAUGAAACUGUCAGACUUGAGGUAAGGAGAGGAAAGUGGAAUUCCUAGUGUAGCGGUGAAAUGCGUAGAUAUUAGGAGGAAUACCAGUGGCGAAGGCGACUUUCUGGACUUAAACUGACGCUGAGGAACGAAAGCGUGGGGAGCAAACAGGAUUAGAUACCCUGGUAGUCCACGCCGUAAACGAUGAGUGCUAGGUGUCGGGUAGAAAUAUUCGGUGCCGCAGCUAACGCAAUAAGCACUCCGCCUGGGGAGUACGUACGCAAGUAUGAAACUCAAAGGAAUUGAC
RNAcentral lists this ribosomal RNA (402 nucleotides) under uncultured Soehngenia sp. Its description in RNAcentral is "bacterial SSU rRNA". It matches the Rfam family "Bacterial small subunit ribosomal RNA", at positions 509 to 914 of the family's 1533-position model. The record is from RNAcentral. Lineage: Bacteria; Bacillati; Bacillota; Tissierellia; Tissierellales; Tissierellaceae.